RNAcentral lists this long non-coding RNA (3090 nucleotides) under Zea mays. RNAcentral describes it as "long non-coding RNA (ZMAY_LNC001651)". The record is from RNAcentral. Lineage: Eukaryota; Viridiplantae; Streptophyta; Magnoliopsida; Poales; Poaceae.
UUCGAUGAACUAUGCCGCACAAGAUGUUAUUGGCUUCUUUUGGCUUUAUUGCUCCAUUAGUUCUAUAGAUUUUCUCCCUUUUGGUGGGGUGCAAGGAAUGUUAGAUUACAUGAUUAUCUUUUCAUGAUGGCAAGAAUAAGGUUUAGGAAGAUUAGGAGUUUUGUUCCAAUAGAACUACUUGUUUCAUAGUGCUUUAAGGUGAGGUGUUUGAUCUUCUUACACAUUCGUCGGGUGUAGAUGUUUCACCAUUUAAUUAAAAUUAAUGGUUGAAGUUGGUAAGGGUUGUGCUUGGUGCAUAUUACCCCUUCAUAAAAGAGUGUUGUCUUAAGACAUUGAUGUUGAUGUAUAGCUGCAUCCAAAUUUGAUGGUGUGAAAUUGGAGUGUUGAUUGCAACUAUGACAUGCUUUGAGCUUCAUUACAUGUUGUUUCAUGCUUGAUGUCAGGUCGUGUAGUUUCCUUAGACAAUUAGUCCAAGGUAGAAGUUCUUGUGUUAAUUAAGACCAAUAAUGGACCCAUGUUUUGAAUUGUGGUGCUAUAUGGGGUACCUUGGGUGUUUUGCUUGGAGUGGCCGAAUUCGAGGUCGAAUUCUUUUUAAGGGGGAUAGAGUGUAAUAUCCCAAAAAAAAAUGUUGACCAAAAGUUAAUCUCUGGUGCGUGGAUGAGGUAAAGGGUUGUGGGCCAUUGGAUGCAAAGAUAGAAGUCAUCUGAGGCGUCGUUUCUUUCUCCCACAAAAAACCCUAGGUGGCCACCCUUUUUUCCCUUCACCCCCCCUCUUGGCCGCCACCCCCUUUUUCUCCCCCUUGGCUGGACGCCCCCUCCCCCUAUGGCAGCCAUCCUCCAUUGCUUCCUCCCCCAAGAUCUCCCCCUACGCAGCAAGGAUCGAGAAAAGGAGGGGCACGUUGAAUUGAAGAGGAAGAGAGGAUCAAGGAGAUGUUCUUCCCCAUCUCCUCUUGAAGAUUUCUUGGGGAAAACCUAGGUAUGGAUGAGAUCCUUGUUCCUCCCUGUAAUUAUAGGCUUUUGGAGGUUGUGGAUCAUGGGAAUUAAAGGAUUAGAGGUUGGAUUUGAUGUGGGGUUAGGUUUUGAUCUCGAAUUUAGUUUUCUGCAGAAUGGCAGAUUCGACAGUUUCUGUUCAUGCCAGUUUUCCGUGGUCUUAGUGGCCUCAAAAAAAUAAAAAGUCUAUGUAUGAGUCGUAGAUAAUUUGUAGAUCUUUCCGUGGCCGCGAAGAACACCUCAAUCGGACAUCCGACCAGAAAGUUAUUGCAGUUUUACUAUAGCAGUUUUUCAGUCUCAUAAUUCUGUGCAGAAUCUGUUCUCUUAAGAUUUAGGCAAUUUUAUCAACAGAAUUAAACUGUGGGUUGGUAAAAGAAGUUGUAGAUAAUUUUAUAAGCUUUCCAUAUUGUUAAAGAGUGCAUUCAUAUGAUUUGUGAAACUCCAGUUAUGUUUGUUUUACUGUGGCUGUUCCUGUUUACCUGACAAAAAUGAGUGGGUCUGUUCACUGGUGGGUUUCAUCUAGUAAAUGGCCGAAUUGGCUCUUCCAACUAUGGAGACUUUUGUAGAGGGAUAAAAGUUCUUACUUCCAGCAGAAUUUCAUAAUUGUUGGUUCAGCAGUUUUGGAGAUAUCGAAUUUUAAAGUUAACCAUACUGCUGUCUAAAACAGAUUCAGUCAGUUAUCUUGUCAGAUGUUUUAGAACUUGUAGAUGGCAGAAUUUAAUUAUCUAUUGAAUACUGAAGUUGUAGAGUAUUUUGUGUAGAUACUCCUAGAGUAUUUGUUUGAUAUCACCGCUGUUUUAAUUUUAAAGAUACAAAAUUAACAAACAGCGUUGCUGCUGUAUGGCAUGUGGUUCAGGGUGGGAGUCUUUCCACUGGGUCUUGGUUUCAAGUGUAGGAGUGUUUUGUUGAUUGAUGGCGAAUGUUUGUGAAAUAUUUGUACUAAGUUUUAUGCCCACUAGCAGGUGGCUACACUCCAGAUCAUGUCUAGUACAUUUCUUCUUCUUCGAUGAAGGCAAGUGAAUGUAGCGGUGGUUGCUUCCAUUCUGACAUGUUAUUUCUAUCGCCUACACUCUAAUAUUCAGAAGUAUCAGAUUCUUUCAUAAUUGGACUCUAUGGUGAUGCUUUACUUGCUUGCAUUAUACUGAUGCUCAAUCAUAUAUUCAUGAUGAUUAUGAUUUGAGUAUGACUCAUGAGAUUAAUUCACACCCCUGAAGGUAAAUGAAGUAUUAUUUGAGGUUGGUAUUGUAUCUGAAGGUAAAUGAAGUAUUAUUUGAGGUUUGUGUUGUAUCUGAAGGAAGUGAAGUUUAUUGAUAAAUGUAGCAUGCCAUAUACAUUACAUCACUCAUUUGCAUAUGAAGUUUUGUCGUGACCUAUGGUCCGACCGUACCGGUACAACUUAGCAUCGUACGUUGCCCGAGAAGGGGUACGAUGCGGCUUCAUACCCUUAGAGGUAUGAAGGCAGAGGACAUAUGCAUUGCAUUCAUAUGCAUUCAUUGAAGUGAUAUUUGCAGAUGAUGUGGUUUUAUACCCCCAGAGGUAUGAAGAUAGAGUACCUACACAUUGCAUUCCUAUGCAUACAUUGAAGUGAUAUUUGCAGGUAUUGUUGACGCAGGAAAGUGUUAUAGAACCUAUUGUGGUUGUUCGAGGAAAUGAGAUGGUAUUGGUUAUAGUGGGACUACUGAGUUCUAUAUCUACAAGCAUUUCUGAUUUUUAAUUGUGACUCUUUUAAAAUGUUGAUGAAUUCAAUUUGUGGUUUAAAUAUCUCGUCAGAACAAUUAGCUUGCUGAGAUGUUUCAUCUCACUCUUGCAUUACUCAAUGCAGGUGCUUGUUGCUCAUCAAGGGGAGUGGGAAGUAGCAGCACAUCCACCUUCAUUCUCAUAACAAUGCUGCCGAGACGCAGCCAUGAUUUAAUUAGAAACUUCUUGUCAAAGGAUGUUUGUUUUUAACUAGUCGUGCGCACUGAUUAAUUCAGUUCAUGUUGUUAUGGUUGUCUUCCCAUUGCUAGCAGAUUAUUAAUGUCUUAUAUGUUUUCUUAUCAUGAUAUCUAUUUAUACUUUGUUGCUUCCCCCGUUUAUGCAAUUUUCAAAGGAGAUGUUGUCA